GGAGCCUGUUUCCUCGAUGCAUCUUCUGUACGGAGCUGAGCUAGACUGUAUUCAGAUGAGGUACUGAAUGCAAAGCUAGUCAAAUUGGAUCAAAGAUGCACCCCAUAGACAACCCAUCAAUAUUCUCAUCACAUCACCCCGUCUACCAAAUUUCAGACUGCCAGCCAAAAGCUCCCCUGUGAACAACCAUCAAGCAAAGGUUCAGUCUUUCCUGUGGGUGGUCUUCUGAAGUCCUUCACCUGACGUUGGGAGCUGUGAGAAAGAUGUAGUCCUCGGUGACUGCAGAGAAGACUGCCACAGCGAUCACUAAUGACUUUUGUAUGCAUACCUGUGAGAUAGUGUAGGCUCUAUGUGGGAAUGUUACAGAGAAAUAUUUCCCCAAUAACCCCUGAGUUCAGAGUCAGACAGAACCUCAGGAAGGUGCCAACAUGGAGCAAACUGGUUCAGAUCUGUGUGUGACACACCACACACCAACAUCGCUGUGGAGUUGGAUCCAUGCACACUGUUUACUGAUCUGGCAUGCCUUGACGCUAGAGUGGCUCCCAUCUGUCUUUGAAAUGCUAAUUUCCCUCGACACUGAUGCUAUUGACCUGUAUAGGGUUAGUCACUACUCAGUAGUUUCAAUAUAACAGGAAAUGACUGUCAUCUUGAAUAGCAUAUAGUAAUAAUCUGUGGUCAUUUCAGUUGUAUUCAAAGGUUGGCAGUACAUGUAAAAGGCUAUAUGUAUGUCAAUUGAAAUGAGUCCUUUCAGAAGAGCAGGUGCUCUCCUAUCCUCCUUAGCAACAUUUGUUCUAUAAAUGCUACAUUAAUCCCUACAACACCAUAUUUAGUGAACAAGCUCAACCCAGUAUCACAAAUAAAAGUGACAUUUUUUUGUGUGCAGUACACAA
Long non-coding RNA from Oncorhynchus kisutch (coho salmon), 890 nucleotides. RefSeq lists it as uncharacterized. NCBI's taxonomy places the organism in Eukaryota, Metazoa, Chordata, Actinopteri, Salmoniformes, Salmonidae. The record is from RefSeq and is a predicted model, not a curated record. The transcript is spliced from 2 exons.